GCGCCCGUAGCUCAGUCGGAUAGAGCACCAGAUUCCUAAUCUGGGGGUCGCAGGUUCGAAUCCUGCCGGGCGCACCA
This 77-nucleotide transfer RNA is filed under the name Rhodospirillaceae bacterium. RNAcentral describes it as "tRNA-Arg". It matches the Rfam family "tRNA". Rfam says of the family: Transfer RNA (tRNA) molecules are approximately 80 nucleotides in length. Lineage: Bacteria; Pseudomonadati; Pseudomonadota; Alphaproteobacteria; Rhodospirillales; Rhodospirillaceae. The record is from RNAcentral.